RNAcentral lists this long non-coding RNA (1224 nucleotides) under Salmo salar (Atlantic salmon). RNAcentral describes it as "lncRNA (ENSSSAG00000082678.1)". Lineage: Eukaryota; Metazoa; Chordata; Actinopteri; Salmoniformes; Salmonidae. The record is from RNAcentral.
GUUGAAUUAGUCUAUAUGCCCAUAAUUUCAUUUGAAAUUCUCCAAAGCUUUUUUCUGUCAUAUUUUAUAUCAUUUAUCUUAGUUUCAUAAUACAGCGUUUCUUCUUCUUUUUGUUCAGUUUAGCCACAUAAUUUCUCGGUUUGCCAAUCAGAUGUGCAGACAGAUUUAUUAGCCACUCCUUUUGCGUCAUCUCUCUCAACCACACAGUUUUUCAGUUCCUCAUCAAUCCACGGCACCUUGGCAGAUCUAACAGUUCGUUUCUUAAUAGGGUUAUGUCUAUCAAUAACUGGAAGGAGAAAUUUCAUAAAUAUUUGUAGAUCUUUAGUUGUUGUGGAGCUUUUGUCCCGAACUCAUUACGGUGUUUUAGGUGCCAAGCUUAUUAUCAUGUCGCAGCUGUGUGUAGGAGGGAAAUUCCUAGAUGUGAGAAGUGUGCAUUAGGGCAUGAGACAAAGAAAUGUGUAGUGUUGGUGGAAAUAAAUGUUGUGUGUUAACUGUAGGGCACCUUAGUGGCACCUAGUGGCACCUGUAGUGGCACCUUCAUUGGGGAGAACAGGCUCGUGGUAAUGGCUGGAGCAGAAUCAGUGGAAUGGUAUCAAAUACAUGGAAACCAUGUGUUUGAUGCCAUUCCAUUUGCUCCGUUCAAAACAUUAUUAUGAGCCGUCCUCACCUCAGCAGUGUCCACUGUUGUAGGCACUGUUGUAGGGGUACCCAUGGUGCUGGAGUUCAGAAGUGUUGGUUAUGAACUAUACCGCAGAAAUGAAACGUGAAUCACAGAAAAUAGAUGUGGUGGCAGCUGCAUAGAAGGACUUGGGUCUAUGGGAUUUUACUGCAUUAGAGUUACAAGGUGUGUUCAACAAUAGUGUUCCGUUCUCCCAGUCUUCCAGCUUGGAGUAGAAUCAGAUAGGACCAAGUAGUGGAAUAGUGGUGAGGUUUUAAUGGGUGUAGGGUUAGUUGGUAUAGUGGUGAAGUUUUAAUGGGUGUAGGGUUAGUUGGUAUAGUGGUGAGGUUUUAAUGGGUGUAGGGUUAGUUGGUAUAGUGGUGAAGUUUUAAUGGGUGUAGGGUUAGUUGGUAUAGUGUUGAGGUUUUAAUGGGUGUAGGGUUAGUUGGUAUAGUGGUGAGGUUUUAAUGGGUGUAGGGUUAGUUGGUAUAGUGGUGAGGUUUUAAUGGGUGUAGGGUUAGUUGGUAUAGUGGUGAAGUUUUAAUGGGUGUAGGGUUAGUCAGUAG